GACGGACGCUGGCGGCGUGCUUAACACAUGCAAGUCGAACGGAAAGGCCCCAGCUUGCUGGGGUACUCGAGUGGCGAACGGGUGAGUAACACGUGGGUGAUCUGCCCUGCACUCUGGGAUAAGCCUGGGAAACUGGGUCUAAUACCGGAUAGGACCGUGCUUUAGUGUGUGCGGUGGAAAGUUUUUCGGUGCAGGAUGAGCCCGCGGCCUAUCAGCUUGUUGGUGGGGUAAUGGCCUACCAAGGCGGCGACGGGUAGCCGGCCUGAGAGGGUGUACGGCCACAUUGGGACUGAGACACGGCCCAGACUCCUACGGGAGGCAGCAGUGGGGAAUAUUGCACAAUGGGCGCAAGCCUGAUGCAGCGACGCCGCGUGGGGGAUGACGGCCUUCGGGUUGUAAACCCCUUUCGGCAGGGACGAAGCUUUUGUGACGGUACCUGCAUAAGAAGCACCGGCUAACUACGCG
This 465-nucleotide ribosomal RNA is filed under the name uncultured bacterium. Its description in RNAcentral is "partial 16S ribosomal RNA". It matches the Rfam family "Bacterial small subunit ribosomal RNA", at positions 28 to 507 of the family's 1533-position model. The record is from RNAcentral.